UUAAGCGACUAAGCGUACACGGUGGAUGCCCUGGCAGUCAGAGGCGAUGAAGGACGUGCUAAUCUGCGAAAAGCGUCGGUAAGGUGAUAUGAACCGUUAUAACCGGCGAUGUCCGAAUGGGGAAACCCAGUGCAAUUCGUUGCACUAUCGUUAACUGAAUACAUAGGUUAACGAGGCGAACCGGGGGAACUGAAACAUCUAAGUACCCCGAGGAAAAGAAAUCAACCGAGAUUCCCCCAGUAGCGGCGAGCGAACGGGGAGCAGCCCAGAGUCUGAAUCAGCUUGUGUGUUAGUGGAACGGUCUGGAAAGUCCGACGGUACAGGGUGAUAGUCCCGUACACCAAAAUGCACAGGUUGUGAACUCGAAGAGUAGGGCGGGACACGUGGUAUCCUGUCUGAAUAUGGGGGGACCAUCCUCCAAGGCUAAAUACUCCUGACUGACCGAUAGUGAACCAGUACCGUGAGGGAAAGGCGAAAAGAACCCCGGCGAGGGGAGUGAAAAAGAACCUGAAACCGUGUACGUACAAGCAGUGGGAGCACCUUCGGGUGUGACUGCGUACCUUUUGUAUAAUGGGUCAGCGACUUAUAUUCUGUAGCAAGGUUAACCGUAUAGGGGAGCCGCAGGGAAACCGAGUCUUAACUGGGCGUUAAGUUGCAGGGUAUAGACCCGAAACCCGGUGAUCUAGCCAUGGGCAGGUUGAAGGUUGGGUAACACUAACUGGAGGACCGAACCGACUAAUGUUGAAAAAUUAGCGGAUGACUUGUGGCUGGGGGUGAAAGGCCAAUCAAACCGGGAGAUAGCUGGUUCUCCCCGAAAGCUAUUUAGGUAGCGCCUCGUGAAUUCAUCUUCGGGGGUAGAGCACUGUUUCGGCUAGGGGGUCAUCCCGACUUACCAACCCGAUGCAAACUACGAAUACCGAAGAAUGUUAUCACGGGAGACACACGGCGGGUGCUAACGUCCGUCGUGAAGAGGGAAACAACCCAGACCGCCAGCUAAGGUCCCAAAGUCAUGGUUAAGUGGGAAACGAUGUGGGAAGGCACAGACAGCCAGGAUGUUGGCUUAGAAGCAGCCAUCAUUUAAAGAAAGCGUAAUAGCUCACUGGUCGAGUCGGCCUGCGCGGAAGAUGUAACGGGGCUAAACCAUGCACCGAAGCUGCGGCAGCGACACUAUGUGUUGUUGGGUAGGGGAGCGUUCUGUAAGCCUGCGAAGGUGUGCUGUGAGGCAUGCUGGAGGUAUCAGAAGUGCGAAUGCUGACAUAAGUAACGAUAAAGCGGGUGAAAAGCCCGCUCGCCGGAAGACCAAGGGUUCCUGUCCAACGUUAAUCGGGGCAGGGUGAGUCGACCCCUAAGGCGAGGCCGAAAGGCGUAGUCGAUGGGAAACAGGUUAAUAUUCCUGUACUUGGUGUUACUGCGAAGGGGGGACGGAGAAGGCUAUGUUAGCCGGGCGACGGUUGUCCCGGUUUAAGCAUGUAGGCUGGUUAUCCAGGCAAAUCCGGAUAAUCAAGGCUGAGGUGUGAUGACGAGGCACUACGGUGCUGAAGUAACAAAUGCCCUGCUUCCAGGAAAAGCCUCUAAGCAUCAGGUAACAUCAAAUCGUACCCCAAACCGACACAGGUGGUCAGGUAGAGAAUACCAAGGCGCUUGAGAGAACUCGGGUGAAGGAACUAGGCAAAAUGGUGCCGUAACUUCGGGAGAAGGCACGCUGGUGUGUAGGUGAAGUCCCUGCGGAUGGAGCUGAGACCAGUCGAAGAUACCAGCUGGCUGCAACUGUUUAUUAAAAACACAGCACUGUGCAAACACGAAAGUGGACGUAUACGGUGUGACGCCUGCCCGGUGCCGGAAGGUUAAUUGAUGGGGUUAUCCGUAAGGAGAAGCUCUUGAUCGAAGCCCCGGUAAACGGCGGCCGUAACUAUAACGGUCCUAAGGUAGCGAAAUUCCUUGUCGGGUAAGUUCCGACCUGCACGAAUGGCGUAAUGAUGGCCAGGCUGUCUCCACCCGAGACUCAGUGAAAUUGAACUCGCUGUGAAGAUGCAGUGUACCCGCGGCAAGACGGAAAGACCCCGUGAACCUUUACUAUAGCUUGACACUGAACAUUGAGCCUUGAUGUAGGAUAGGUGGGAGGCUUUGAAGCGUGGACGCCAGUCUGCGUGGAGCCAACCUUGAAAUACCACCCUUUAAUGUUUGAUGUUCUAACGUUGGCCCCUGACCGGGGUUGCGGACAGUGUCUGGUGGGUAGUUUGACUGGGGCGGUCUCCUCCCAAAGCGUAACGGAGGAGCACGAAGGUUAGCUAAUCCUGGUCGGACAUCAGGAGGUUAGUGCAAUGGCAUAAGCUAGCUUGACUGCGAGCGUGACGGCGCGAGCAGGUGCGAAAGCAGGUCAUAGUGAUCCGGUGGUUCUGAAUGGAAGGGCCAUCGCUCAACGGAUAAAAGGUACUCCGGGGAUAACAGGCUGAUACCGCCCAAGAGUUCAUAUCGACGGCGGUGUUUGGCACCUCGAUGUCGGCUCAUCACAUCCUGGGGCUGAAGUAGGUCCCAAGGGUAUGGCUGUUCGCCAUUUAAAGUGGUACGCGAGCUGGGUUUAGAACGUCGUGAGACAGUUCGGUCCCUAUCUGCCGUGGGCGCUGGAGAAUUGAGGGGGGCUGCUCCUAGUACGAGAGGACCGGAGUGGACGCAUCACUGGUGUUCGGGUUGUCAUGCCAAUGGCACUGCCCGGUAGCUAAAUGCGGAAGAGAUAAGUGCUGAAAGCAUCUAAGCACGAAACUUGCCCCGAGAUGAGUUCUCCCUGAGACUUUAAGUCUCCUGAAGGAACGUUGAAGACGACGACGUUGAUAGGCCGGGUGUGUAAGCGCAGCGAUGCGUUGAGCUAACCGGUACUAAUGAACCGUGAGGCUUAACCU
This 2897-nucleotide ribosomal RNA is filed under the name Klebsiella pneumoniae. RNAcentral describes it as "bacterial LSU rRNA". It matches the Rfam family "Bacterial large subunit ribosomal RNA". Lineage: Bacteria; Pseudomonadati; Pseudomonadota; Gammaproteobacteria; Enterobacterales; Enterobacteriaceae. The record is from RNAcentral.